Long non-coding RNA from Gigantopelta aegis, 282 nucleotides. RefSeq lists it as uncharacterized. The transcript has 3 exons. Lineage: Eukaryota; Metazoa; Mollusca; Gastropoda; Neomphalida; Peltospiridae. The record is from RefSeq and is a predicted model, not a curated record.
AAACGACUUACACCGAUCUAAAGGUUUGCUAUGACGUCACGAACAAAACGACUUACACUGGUCUAAAGGUUUGCUAUGAUGUCACGAACAAAACGACUUACACUGGUCUAAAGGGGUAGUUGAGAAAAAGAAUGAAUAUCAUUGGAAUGGAACAACCGUUGCUGAUAGGAUCGAACUCGAGCCCUGGUGAACACGGCAUCCAUAUCGCGGUAAAUCCGUCCGCGGCGGGUGCACACUGCACGAAUCCCGAGCAGUCCCAGGACAGCGGAAACAGCCCGCUCG